CCUACGGGGUGCAGCAGUGGGGAAUAUUGGGCAAUGGGCGCAAGCCUGAACCAGCAACGCCGCGUGAAGGAAGAAGGCUCUAGGGUUGGUAACUUCUUUUAAGAGGGAAGAGCAGAAGACGGUACCUCUUGAAUAAGCCACGGCUAACUACGUGCCAGCAGCCGCGGUAAUACGUAGGUGGCAAGCGUUGUCCGGAUUUACUGGGUGUAAAGGGCGUGUAGGCGGGCUGACAAGUCAGAUGUGAAAUUUCCGGGCUCAACCCCGGACCUGCAUUUGAAACUGUUGGUCUUGAGUAUCGGAGAGGCAGGCGGAAUUCGUAGUGUAGCGGUGAAAUGCGUAGAUAUUAGGCGGAACACCAGUGGCGAAGGCGGCCUGCUGGACGACAACUGACGGUGAGGCGCGAAAGCGUGGGGAGCAAACAGGAUUAGAUACCCGAGUAGUC
RNAcentral lists this ribosomal RNA (442 nucleotides) under uncultured bacterium. RNAcentral describes it as "partial 16S ribosomal RNA". It matches the Rfam family "Bacterial small subunit ribosomal RNA", at positions 338 to 795 of the family's 1533-position model. The record is from RNAcentral.